Molecule: ribosomal RNA, 207 nt
Filed under: uncultured bacterium
Lineage: Bacteria
Description: partial 16S ribosomal RNA
Rfam family: Bacterial small subunit ribosomal RNA
Source: RNAcentral
UGCGUAGGCGGCUUUGCAAGUCUGAUGUGAAAUCUCCAGGCCCAACCUGGAAACUGCAUUAGAAACUGCGGGGCUAGAGGCUUGGAGGGGGGAACUGGAAUGCUCGGUGUAGCAGUGAAAUGCGUAGAGAUCGAGCGGAACACCAGUGGCGAAGGCGAGUUCCUGGACAAGUCCUGACGCUGAGGCACGAAGGCCGGGGAGCAAACA